GUCCGCGUAGCUCAACUGGACAGAGCACCGGUCUCCUACACCGGAACGUGCGGGUUCAACUCCCGCCGCGGACACCA
RNAcentral lists this transfer RNA (77 nucleotides) under Mycobacterium sp. SWH-M3. RNAcentral describes it as "tRNA-Arg". It matches the Rfam family "tRNA". From Rfam's summary of the family: Transfer RNA (tRNA) molecules are approximately 80 nucleotides in length. Their secondary structure includes four short double-helical elements and three loops (D, anti-codon, and T loops). The record is from RNAcentral. Lineage: Bacteria; Bacillati; Actinomycetota; Actinomycetes; Mycobacteriales; Mycobacteriaceae.